This 468-nucleotide ribosomal RNA is filed under the name uncultured bacterium. RNAcentral describes it as "partial 16S ribosomal RNA". It matches the Rfam family "Bacterial small subunit ribosomal RNA", at positions 28 to 507 of the family's 1533-position model. The record is from RNAcentral.
GACGAACGCUGGCGGCGUGCUUAACACAUGCAAGUCGAACGGAAAGUUCCUGCCUUGUUGGGGUGCUCGAGUGGCGAACGGGUGAGUAACACGUGAGUUCCCUGCCCCUCACUUUGGGAUAACUUCAUGAAACUUGGGCUCAUACCGGCUAGGAUCUCCUGCUGCUUGGUGGGGGUUGGUAGGUUUCGCUGGUUGGGGAUGGACUCGCGGCCUAUCAGCUUGUUCGGUGGGUAGUGGAUUACCAAGGCUUUGCAGCGUAGCCGGGCUGCGAGGGUGACCGGACACAUUGCGACUGGGAUGCGACACAGACUACUACGGGAGGCAGCGGUGGAGAGUAGUGCACAAUGGGCUGAAGCAUAAUGCAGCACAGCAGCGUGGGGGAUGACAGGCUUCGGGUUGUAAACCGCUUUCGCCUGUGACGGGACGUGAGUGACAGUAAUGGGUAAAGAAGCACCGGCUAACUACGUG